AACGAACGCUGGCGGCAUGCCUAACACAUGCAAGUCGAACGAGACCUUCGGGUCUAGUGGCGCACGGGUGCGUAACGCGUGGGAACCUGCCCUUAGGUUCGGAAUAACUCCCCGAAAGGGGUGCUAAUACCGGAUAAUGUCUUCGGACCAAAGAUUUAUCGCCUUUGGAUGGGCCCGCGUUGGAUUAGCUAGUUGGUAGGGUAAAAGCCUACCAAGGCGACGAUCCAUAGCUGGUCUGAGAGGAUGAUGAGCCACACUGGGACUGAGACACGGCCCAGACUCCUACGGGAGGCAGCAGUGGGGAAUAUUGGACAAUGGGCGAAAGCCUGAUCCAGCAAUGCCGCGUGAGUGAUGAAGGCCUUAGGGUUGUAAAGCUCUUUUACCCGGGAUGAUAAUGACAGUACCGGGAGAAUAAGCUCCGGCUAACUCCGUG
RNAcentral lists this ribosomal RNA (433 nucleotides) under uncultured bacterium. Its description in RNAcentral is "partial 16S ribosomal RNA". It matches the Rfam family "Bacterial small subunit ribosomal RNA", at positions 29 to 507 of the family's 1533-position model. The record is from RNAcentral.